CCUGCAGUAUAUUUUUUAUUUGCUGCAGUAUAUUUUUUGUUUGCGUUGAGCCUUCAGGGCCACCGUACAAAGUUGAUUACAAAAGACUUGAGAGGAAAAAGACCUUAAACCGUUUUGUUCGAACCAAACAUAGCGCAAAACAGAUUAAGAUAAAAGGCGGGAAAGUGUGGAAACGAGGUAAAAUAUUUGAUAUCCCAUGGUUCUCUCUGGGCUUGUGUGCACAAGAAGAAAAAAGAUGGCAACUCCUGAGGAGCUCAGCUCUGCAGCAGAUUCUUUUGAUGAAAGUAACUCUGUUAGUAGUACAACUUCAUUCCGAUCCUCCUUUACUUCAUUCCGAUCCUCCUGUACUUCAUUGUCUCUCACAAUGGAUAGCAACUCCGAAAGGGUAGAGGUUUUUAAAACCCGUUCUCGAAAAAGAAAUAACUCGCAAACGGCUAAGAGGGUUAAAAUACCAAAAGAGAAGAUUACUUCCUAUCAACCGCAGGUCACCUUCUCCGGCUCCAGUUGAAACAGAAAAAAGUACCUCCGAUCUUGAGGUCGUAGAUGCUGGGGAAGAACAGAGAACAAAGGAAGGCUACUCAUUAGAAAAAGCCCACUUCGGUAUGUACAGCACCGACAAGUUACGAGGAUGAAAUGGACAAUCAAGUACGUCUGCAUCUGAUGGAGAGAAAGAUUCAUCUGGUGAUGAGCUCUCCUCCUUGUCGUCAUUUAUAUCAAUUAUGUCUGGUGAUGAAACUUUAAGUGAGCCUGAAGACAUUGAAAGUAUGCCGGGCGAUCUUAGCCAUACUAACAACAAUUAGGAGCUCGAGCAAGAUCGCUUAGAUGAUUUCACAAAAGAGGCGUUGUAUGAGAGUGCAAGCUUAUCGGUAUUUGAAUGCUGCACUCUUGUGAUGCUUUUCAUCACCAAACACCGCCUUACAAAAGUGGCUCUUCAAGACCUCCUCUACCUCAUCCAUCCAGACUGUGGGACCCUCUGUAGGAUGUAAAAUGGUGACUUCAAUUGACCGUCUCAAUGGAUUGUUUACCAAAUUUUUUGGUAAUAAAGCGGACACUCUUCACUAAAUGUGUUAGCAUUGUGGAAACCUUUUAAAACAGUGGAAAGCUUUUAAAACAGGGCAAAACACGAUGCACUGCCUCUAGAGGUUGUAAAGAAGCAGGAACUGUGACAUUUGCAGAGUUGAAUGUUGAAGAAAAACUAAGAGAAUUGUUUUUUGAUGCCAAAUUCUGCAGUCUUAUAUUACAAUCACCAAGAACUGCAUCUGGAAAUAACUGCUUACAGGAUAUAUAUGAUGGAAAUCUGUAUAAACACCACAAUUCCCAGGAAGAUUCAUUUCUCCAGUGCCUUGGAAUAUUUAUUUUACUCUAAACACCAAUGGAGUGAGUGUAUUGUCUUCCUCAAAGAAGGGGUAUCUUUGGUCAGUGUGUUUAGCCAUCAAUGAACUUCCCAUUGAGCAAAGGUACAGCAAAAAGUACCUCAUCCCAGCCCUUCUUUACUGUCAUAAAGGGACCCCAAACAUGCAUUCCCUUUUAAUGUGACUUGUUUGUUACUUCAUCUUACUGACAUUGUUGCCACCUUGGAUCCAUUAUGGGCCUAUUCCUGCUUUUGAUUUGAAGGCAUGAAUGCUGUGUAAAAGAAUUUCAUUCAUGGAACAGCCAAAGGUAUUUGACAGGUAUCACUGGCCUUGGGAAUGCUGGACAGACUUCCAAAUCUAUGUUUGGAAUUAACUAACAGAGCUAGCAUUGCAGAUGAAGUCAAGACAAUGAUCAGAAAAUUGACUGUGACUGAGAGGAGGAUUAACAUCACACACCAGUUUGAAAGCUCAACGGCCGUUGGAAAGGUGAUAGAGGCAACCUUAGAUCCAGAGGCUUUGGUACCAGUAAACCUACUUUCAGAAGACAUGGGAUUACAGGCUUUGACAGGGGAAAGCAGAGUGAAGCAGUGCGACUGAAUGCACAUAAAUCAGCAAGUGUUCUAUUCAUCACAGUAUCCUCGCACAAACUCAAUGAAUUCUUAUACUGUUGAGUUUAGAAACUGUAAUGGUGUUCUGCUCUAUGGUGAAAUUUUGACCCACAUUAUUGUAAACGACAAGGAUCCAAUAGCCAUUGUUAGACCCUUUAAAGUGACUGAGAAGUGUAUUCUUGAUGUGGAUAAGGAGGUAAAAAACCACAGAGUUUUAAAAAAGUAUGUAUGGCCAAGGAGUGACAAAGAAAAACUAGCUACACACAUCAAGCUAGUAGAUUUAAGUAACAAGUACCUAAACCUCACAGCAAUACGUGUAACCAACAUAAUUAAAAAGUGUGUGUAUGCUGACAAAACAGGGGGAAGGAUAUGCUCCAAUUUCUUCCUUUCCAAACUUGGUGGAGCAUGAUUGAAGGUCCGGAUGACUCAACAGUGUUUUAAAACUAAUUAUCAUAUGCAAGAAAUGUAUGGUCUUUCCCAAUGAGUAGAACAAAAGAAGCAAUUCACACAAGACUUUUUUUCAAAUAACAUGGAAAAGUAGGAUUGAUGAUCUGUAGCCUGCAUGUCUACAGUCAAGUAACACAACAGGUAAUCGCUAGAACAGUGGACUAUUUAGGGGCCACUUGCCAGAAAACAAUUGUUGAUGAUCAGUUAUCUACAGCUCACCUGAGUAAUGAUGACAAAAAUUAUUUUGUCAAUUGCAGCCAGCCAAAGCCAUCCAUAUCCCAUACUAACUUUAGAAAAAGGAAAGCUUACCUAAUGAGACUCACAGGCCCGUUAGCAAUAACAAGAUAGUUCAAAUGUUCUGCUUUUCUUCGCAAGUGGCUUCAUCAUUAGCCUGUGUCGCAGAAGUGAUUUAACAGCUACAGGUGUCAUGUACUACUGUACAUCAUGAGACAAACUAUAAUACACUUUCUACAGUGAUAUCUGUAAAUGGAAUUAGGAAUUAAAGUUUGCUCAUGUAAACAGA
This 2930-nucleotide long non-coding RNA is filed under the name Stylophora pistillata. RNAcentral describes it as "uncharacterized LOC111330731". Lineage: Eukaryota; Metazoa; Cnidaria; Anthozoa; Scleractinia; Pocilloporidae. The record is from RNAcentral.